GAAUUGCAGAAUUCAGUGGAAUCAUCGAAUCUUUGAACGCACCUUGCGCCCUUUGGCUAUUCCGAAGGGCAUGCCUGUUUUGAGUAUC
This 88-nucleotide ribosomal RNA is filed under the name uncultured fungus. Its description in RNAcentral is "partial 5.8S ribosomal RNA". It matches the Rfam family "5.8S ribosomal RNA", at positions 69 to 154 of the family's 154-position model. Rfam says of the family: 5.8S ribosomal RNA (5.8S rRNA) is a component of the large subunit of the eukaryotic ribosome. It is transcribed by RNA polymerase I as part of the 45S precursor that also contains 18S and 28S rRNA. Functionally, it is thought that 5.8S rRNA may be involved in ribosome translocation. Lineage: Eukaryota; Fungi. The record is from RNAcentral.